This 253-nucleotide ribosomal RNA is filed under the name uncultured bacterium. Its description in RNAcentral is "partial 16S ribosomal RNA". It matches the Rfam family "Bacterial small subunit ribosomal RNA", at positions 524 to 776 of the family's 1533-position model. The record is from RNAcentral.
UACGGAGGGUGCAAGCGUUAUCCGGAUUCACUGGGUUUAAAGGGUGUGUAGGCGGGUAGUUAAGUCAGUGGUGAAAUCUCCAGGCUCAACCUGGAAACUGCCAUUGAUACUAUCUAUCUUGAAUAUUGUUGAGGUAGGCGGAAUAAGUCAUGUAGCGGUGAAAUGCAUAGAUAUGACUUAGAACACCAAUUGCGAAGGCAGCUUACUAAGCAGUUAUUGACGCUGAGGCACGAAAGCGUGGGGAGCAAACAGG